This 230-nucleotide ribosomal RNA is filed under the name Klebsiella pneumoniae. Its description in RNAcentral is "partial 23S ribosomal RNA". It matches the Rfam family "Bacterial large subunit ribosomal RNA", at positions 1 to 222 of the family's 2925-position model. Lineage: Bacteria; Pseudomonadati; Pseudomonadota; Gammaproteobacteria; Enterobacterales; Enterobacteriaceae. The record is from RNAcentral.
GGGUUGUGAGGUUAAGCGACUAAGCGUACACGGUGGAUGCCCUGGCAGUCAGAGGCGAUGAAGGACGUGCUAAUCUGCGAAAAGCGUCGGUAAGGUGAUAUGAACCGUUAUAACCGGCGAUGUCCGAAUGGGGAAACCCAGUGCAAUUCGUUGCACUAUCGUUAACUGAAUACAUAGGUUAACGAGGCGAACCGGGGGAACUGAAACAUCUAAGUACCUCGAGGAAAAGA